Molecule: unclassified non-coding RNA, 4911 nt
Organism: Pocillopora damicornis (cauliflower coral)
Lineage: Eukaryota; Metazoa; Cnidaria; Anthozoa; Scleractinia; Pocilloporidae
Source: RefSeq, a predicted model, not a curated record
UGAAUUUAAUCUCGUUAGAGAGUGGAGAUUUCACGAUCUUAGUCUUAAAUCAAAAAUGAAAGGCAGGAAGUGUGUACGAAGGGGAGUAUCGAAGUUGUUUAUUUUUAGUAUACUUACGCAUGCUAGAUGAUCGUAUGUGCACGAGUUUACGAUAUUUUCCCCUCGUGAGCUGUCGCUAGUUUUUGCUCGAAACAGCUGACCGUGUUUAGUUUGUGUUAGAAGUCAUUUUGCUUACUUUGUAGUUCAGUUCUGCAAGGUGAACUAUUGAGACGUAAAAGAUUUGCAUUCUCUCCAUAUUAGUCGUAGCGAGUUUUGCGAAACAAUAGAUUCGAUUUUCAUUUAUAUUGCAUACUUCAAGGGUUUUGAAUUUAUUCGAAAAAUAAAGCAUUAGUUCUCAUCCUCCCUUUCAAUUUACGAGGCGCUUCUGAAGCUUAUUUUGCGUGUUUGCUGUCAUGAUUUUUAUGGCGUAUCUUUCGCUUCACUCACGUUUGCCGGCCUGGGUUAGCUCAUAGUUCAUGUUUCUUGGCACGUGGUAACUUGUUAUUCCAGUUUCUAACCAGUUUUAUUUACACCUCCAUUCAUUUCUUCGAUCGAUAAGUAUUUCUUUCAAAUUCUGAGUUUGGCUUUUUGAAGGUUUUUCUUUUUUGUUAGUACUUUUGGUUCGACUGAUUAAAUCUUGUUUACUGUUGCAUUUACUCGUCAAAGCUGAUUGUCGUGUUGAUCCGGUUGAAAGGAAUGAUUCCCAGAACUCGUUACCCUUGUCAUGCUAUUAUAUUCGCUUAUGGCUUUGUUGUUGACGUUAAUUGUAAAUUAUUUCAUGAAAAAGGCUUUUAUUUAUCCUAAUGAAUCGUCGAGAUUUUUAUGUCAAGGGAGUGAAAUCGUGACAGUGCAAGUUUUUUUUACUGUUGUUGUUUUUAAUUCCAUCAACAAUAACUGACAACGAGAUCUCGACGGGUUUUUUUGGAAUGUUUCUUUUGAGAGUUCAAAGUUCGUUUGGUUUUGUGCAUUGUUUAGGUGUUUGUGUUGUUAUUUUCUAAGUGAAGGCCAACCAUUUAAUACAAUUUCUAAAUUAUUGUCCCAUAAAUUUUCAUCAAAAUUUCACGCUCACUUCAGUUCUUGGUCUUCAGAUUUUAACAAUUAACAUUAAAAGUUUGUUUACAACGUCUAGCUAUUUUGAUUUUUCUUCUUAAUGUGACAGUAGUUUUGUCUUCUUUUUUGUUGUGAACAAAUUCCACAUUUUGGAAUACAGUAACUACGUUUUUAAAACUUCUUGAAGGGUUAUACCCUCAGUAUUUGCGUAGGGUAAGAUUUGGAACUUUUUGGCCUUGUCUCAGCAUGUUUGUGCUGACUAUACAAUAGUUUUCAAUGAACCUCUUCCCUUGCUUCCUGCCUUUUAUUGCAAUUAGAUAUAAAUUGUAUUAUUGGAAAAUGCCAAAGUGAUGUCUUUUCUACUCUGACAACAACACUGUUUUUGACAUGUUGUUAAAAUUUUUAAAAUUUACACUGUCAUAAUUUGGGAGAUGUUAGUUUGCCCGGCAAAUUGUUCUUGUUUCAUGCAGUAGAAGAGUAUCAGUUUGGUACAAUAGUAAAAGUUAUUUUUACCUAGUGCUAUUCACAGCAUGGCUCAUGUGACAUGGCCAUUUGGAAAAAAAUGAAAAAUAUAUGUAUUUGCUUCUGCGAUAUUUCAAAGGAAGGUUGUUGUGGCUUAUUUGACUUUUGUUUUCUUUGUGCCAUUCUGUGAAUAAGAUCUGAAUUAAAAGGGAUUAAUGGAGCAAGUUGGGGCUGUUUGUGUGCAUAUUUGUGGUUAAUUGACUUAAUAGUGCUAAACCAUGAGUGUAAUGGAAUUAGUGUUGAUGCUUAAAUGUUUUAGUAAGCCAUGUGUAUAAGUCUGUUUGUCAUUGUACUGUAUUUUUAACAUGUGUUUAUUGACCGCUGGGGGUAUUGGAAGGGUUGGAAUGAGUAAAUAGUACACAUUUCAAUAUCCCACCAUUUAAUUUCUGACUUUGUGAUGCAACCCGACAUGUAUACUUAAAUGUGUCCCACAAACAAGUAUCAUUGCACAAAGUAGCAUUGACAUGGACUUCAUAAAUGACAAACUGGGCAAAUUCAAUUAGGAUGAUCUGUUUUGUUUUGUGUCCCCAUUGUUUUGAAUUUCAAGGUUGCAGUCUGGCAGGUCAUGCGCUAAUUGGGAUAUUGACUUGUAUAAUUUAUCCAUGCUCAGUGGUAUACUUUAAUCUGGGAAUAUAAUCCUUUUGAUUGUUGCUGUUUUGAUUGUAGCUAAUGUUCCUCCUCAGUGCAAGGCUGACUGGUACAGUACACAGUUUGUUAGCUUUGAUUUAUGUUCCUUCACUGCAUUUAGCAUGGUUUACUCUAGUCCAAAAGUAUGAAAAUAAAUUUCUAGUUAUUAAUAUUUGGGCUGGGGUCACACUUACCCUGGCAUCAUUCCAAGCUGUGGCUCACAAACAUUCUUCUUGCUGUUGACUGUAUAACAUAAACAUAUAAGCCAUCUUAAACAGGUACAAGUUCAAUUGCUGUGGUUUUGCAAAGUCAGGCCUAAUUUCUUACACAGCUUCUGUGUAUUUAGUAUAAAUCUAAGCUCCAUAUCAAAAUUUUGUAGCGUAAUAGAUUGUUAAAUUUAAAUGAAAGACUCUGGUUUUUGAAGAAACAAAGACAAAAUUAUCUCUACCCUUAACUUUGCUUGUUUUAUAAAGUAGUGUACUUAGAUGCAGUAAAUGAACUGAUAAAUAAAAAUAACCCAGGAAAUAACUAGAAGAGAAGAGGAUUGAAGGCUUUGACACACAUUUGAAAUUGCCAACUUUCCAUCUGUAAACAAUAGUUCCAGGGAGGUCUGAGGUACCAAAUUUUUAUGAAUACUCAAUUUUGGUUGAAGUGAACAUGGACUUCCAAGUUGUACAGGGUUUUGCUGAAAAAUAAGCUGUCAUAUCUAAUUGUAGAUGAAAAUACAGGAAGAAUUUUUUUGAUGGGUUGACUCAGUAUUUUUAUUUCGUUUUGGAGUGCAGAAAUUUAACAUAAAAUUAUUUCUUAUCUAACAAAGUAAAGGAUGUAGAAUGAUGCAGGUGGCACAGUUUGGUAUUGUGGAAUUUUUUGAUUGAUUGUUCUGGAGUGUGACCCCAGCCACUAGAAAAAAUGAUUGAAAAAUAGUCUUUGCAGUAUGGUGAUUUUGCUUGGUUCUCAAAUUGAGACCAUCAAUCCAAGCAGGCAGGUACUCUUUUAGGAGAUAUUUCAAACCAGGAAAGUUAUUUCCUUGCUCCCAAUUCAUUUUACGACAUCCUGUUUUCUUUUUGAAAUUGUGAUGGCCUUGUUUUCCUCAAUAACUGAGAGCACUAGAGGAAAAUAGACAAAGUGACACGACAGUUUGGAAUCUAGUUUUACUGCGGAAUUUCAUGGUGAAUGUAAAUAGGUUUUGUACGUUAGUUUAUUGUUUGAAUUUUGCAGCAACUGAGUGGGCACAGUUGGUAGGGCCUCCUGGACGUCUGCAGAUGGAGUUUUGCACACCUUCGAAGUUGCAGGGACUGCCUCAGAAAUUGAUGAUAAAGCUGUGGAGGCCUUUGUCGAUGAGGAUGAUUUUAUCAUAUCCUUAGACUACAACGAAAAAAUGGGAGUUUGCAGCGUAGUCUUGGAGACAUCAAGCUGACAAAUAGUGUUGGAGGUUCAUGACCUGGUUUUCUACUUUGCCAAGUUGGAGGACAUAAUUUACUAGUUAUAUUGACUUUGCAUAUUUUGUGGAAGUUCACUGCUAGUUAUGUCGACAAGGAGAAUACAAUAUACUGUAUGUUUCUUUGUGAUAUAAGUUGAUUGUAAGAGUGGAAUUUCUCUGUAACAUGGUGUUCAGGAGGUUUUUCUUUUCUGGAGUAACUUAUUACUAUGAGAAAUUUUCAAUCAUGCAACUCUGAUAAUGUAUCUAGCAUAACUUAACCCUUUAACUCCCAAGAUCUGAUCAUCAAUUCUCCUUUCAAGCUGUUGCAAAUUUCCUUGUGAAUUAGUUCUAGGCUGUCAUUUUGACUUGCUGCCAAAUUUGUCUUCCUAAUUUACAAGAAAAUAGAUGUAAGUUUAAUAGAGAAUUUCAGUUCUCAUCUUUGUAGUUUAAGGGUUAGAUUUGAUGUACUCUCCUGAUAGGGAGCAAUAUUUGUGGCAUAGGACAUGCCCAUAUGACAAGAUUUGUAAUUUUUAUUUGUAGUAAAAUAUUUCCAGUACAUUUUCUGGAUAAGAUUGUAUAUUUGUACUGAGAUAUACUAUAUCAUGGGGAGAGAGUUGUUUUGUAAUUUAUUUCAUCGCAAAAAAUUAACAAAAGUUAAGUGUUACUCCAACAAAAAGAGUAUUAUUCUGGUCACAGUGUAAAAAUUUAUGUGUAAGCAAUAUUAUUCACUUUGGAUAGUUUAUGUUAUUUCCUUUUACAGAAAAAUCAAUUUUGUAUUUUAAUUCUUGUAGAGCAAUUUCAAGAGAGAAACAUGACUUCCAGACUUAGUUUUUGACUGGUUUUCUGUUUCAUUUCAUGUUUUUUAUUAUUUUAUAACAAGUUGUCAAAUUUCAUUCAUGAUUCAGUGCUGUGUAGACUUAGCUUCCAUGUUUGAAGCAUUUAAGAAAAUUUUUGUCAAAGACUUGGUUCUAAGGUAAUAUUUGCCAUUUUUCUGAAGGAAAGACCUCUGUUAAGUAACUAAGAUGCAGACCUCUUCAGAAAUCAAACUCCAAGUAGUGGCUGCACAUUAUUUCAUGGGUGAAGGUAGAAACUGAAAGUUUUCUUUCUCAGGAAUAACUUUGUCACAGUAAUAUCUGACCUUUCUUUAGGAAUUAAAACUUUCUUUUGUUGUUUACAAUCAAAAUUAAGCAACUUUAAAGAUGCAAGUAUUUCUUUGAUCAAAGCAUAAUAAACACAGAAAAAUAGAGCAAAAA